This 478-nucleotide ribosomal RNA is filed under the name uncultured bacterium. RNAcentral describes it as "partial 16S ribosomal RNA". It matches the Rfam family "Bacterial small subunit ribosomal RNA", at positions 28 to 523 of the family's 1533-position model. The record is from RNAcentral.
GACGAACGCUGGCGGCGUGCUUAACACAUGCAAGUCGAACGGUAAGGCCCUUCGGGGUACACGAGUGGCGAACGGGUGAGUAACACGUGGGUGAUCUGCCCUGCACUUCGGGAUAAGCCUGGGAAACUGGGUCUAAUACCGGAUAGGACUCCGGACUGCAUGGUCUGGGGUGGAAAGCUUUUGCGGUGUGGGAUGGGCCCGCGGCCUAUCAGCUUGUUGGUGGGGUGAUGGCCUACCAAGGCGACGACGGGUAGCCGGCCUGAGAGGGUGACCGGCCAGACUGGGACUGGGAUACGGCACAGACUCCUACGGGAGGCAGCAGUGGGGAAUAUUGCUCAAUGGGCGCAAGCCUGAUGCAGCGACGCCGCGUGAGGGAUGACGGCCUUCGGGUUGUAAACCUCUUUCAGCAUCGACGAAGCGAAAGUGACGGUAGGUGCAGAAGAAGGACCGGCCAACUACGUGCCAGCCGCCGCCGUAA